RNAcentral lists this ribosomal RNA (250 nucleotides) under uncultured bacterium. RNAcentral describes it as "partial 16S ribosomal RNA". It matches the Rfam family "Bacterial small subunit ribosomal RNA", at positions 524 to 776 of the family's 1533-position model. The record is from RNAcentral.
UACGGAGGGAGCUAGCGUUGUUCGGAAUUACUGGGCGUAAAGCGUACGUAGGCGGUUAUUCAAGUCAGAGGUGAAAGCCCGGGCUCAACCCCGGAACUGCCUUUGAAACUAGAUAGCUAGAAUCUUGGAGAGGUAAGUGGAAUUCCGAGUGUAGAGGUGAAAUUCGUAGAUAUUCGGAAGAACACCAGUGGCGAAGGCGACUUACUGGACACAUAUUGACGCUGAGGUGCGAAAGCGUGGGAGCAACAGG